GGGAAGGUGGCUCAGUGGUAGAGUGCUUGCCUUGCAUGCAUGAGGCCCUGGGUUCUAGUCCUCACCACCACA
Molecule: non-coding RNA, 72 nt
Organism: Dipodomys ordii (Ord's kangaroo rat)
Lineage: Eukaryota; Metazoa; Chordata; Mammalia; Rodentia; Heteromyidae
Source: Rfam